Molecule: unclassified non-coding RNA, 418 nt
Filed under: soil metagenome
Description: partial contains 5.8S ribosomal RNA, internal transcribed spacer 2, and large subunit ribosomal RNA
Rfam family: 5.8S ribosomal RNA (bases 1-120)
Source: RNAcentral
GAUGAAGAACGUAGCGAAAUGCGAUAAGUAAUGUGAAUUGCAGAAUUCAGUGAAUCAUCGAAUCUUUGAACGCAUCUUGCGCUCCUUGGUAUUCCUUGGAGCAUGCCUGUUUGAGUAUCAUGAGCAAAUCUGAAAGUCAAUUCCUUUUGUUGAUUCAAUUGGUUUUGCUUUGGACUUGGAGGCCUUGCAGAUUUCACAGUCUGCUCCUCUUAAAUGCAUUAGCUGGAUCUCAGUAAUUAUGCUUGGUUCCACUCGUCGUGAUAAGUAUCACUCGCUGAGGACACUGUUAAAAAGGUGGCCAGGAAAAUACUGGUUGAACCGCUUCUAACGGUCUAUUAAGUUAGACAAUUACCCUUAAGUUUGAUUUCAAAUCAGGUAGGACUACCCGCUGAACUUAAGCAUAUCAAUAAGCGGAGGA